GGUUACCCGGGAGACCAGAGGCGGUAGUGCCUGGUUCCUCCAGGUUCCUCAAGGUCAUUCCGUCUCUACCCCAGUACUAAGCCGGAAGUCCAGAAGCGGCCCCUGGAAGACCCCGCAAGCCUCCAGUGUGGCCGGAUUGCAAGAGAGAAAUGGCACCAAAUGGAAAUCAGCUCUGAUUUUGUGGGCACCCGGCACAGGAGAAAUGAAAAGGAUAAAGAGGAUGACAGAGGAUAUGCUGCAGCAGGAAAACGCUACCUACUGAAUUUUCCCAUGAAGGAGAUCAGUUCUUUCUGAACGUACACACCGCACCCGUGGGGGACUGGAACCAGCAUCUGUGGGGGACCCCACAGUCCGGAGAGAGGCUCAGGCCCCAGAGACGCCCUCUGAGCCUGUAGGUUCCGCAUCCAAGGAGUCAGCCAACCACUGGUACAAGAAGCGUGCGCUGGAGGAAAUGGACGUUCCCCAAGCAUCCUGACUUGGAGGUUGACCUAGUCAUCGGAUGGGUCCUCGGCUUCCCUCAUUAAGCAGAUAGUGAGUGUGUUCUUCCCGAGGGAACGAGUGUGUCGCUGGAUUUCAAGAGCACGAGAGUCGGCCACUAGUCAACAUCUUUUUUUGCCACUCCGCCGCAUAGGGAGCUCCCGGGCCAGGGAUCAAAUUCAAGUCACAGUUGAUACCCAAGCCGCAGGGGCAGCUACACCGAUCCUUAACCCACUGUGCCAGGCCAGGGACUGAACCUGCAUCCCAGCGCUUCCAAGAUGCCACCGAUCGGCUGUGCCAAAGCAGGAACACUAGUCAACACCUUGACCUUUGAAAUGUGAGGAGGCUCCUUUUAUGGACUUGGAAGGUGCAGUCUGCUCUCAGAACGUCGUCCAUGAGCUUGCGAAGAAGUCUUGCUCCCUGUUUCUUUGAUGUAAAGUGCUGUGCAAAUCCCGUAGAGAAUACCCACUGUAUCUGCGUAGGACUUGGAUAUCCCGCCUUACUUCUCUGAUUAAUCGAUCAGUUUUUGAGGGUAGUCUGUUAAGUUACCCAGUUUGCUAAAACGAGAGGGUUCAAUUAAAGGGCAAAAGCAGACGACGUUUUCAAAAUAAACCCAACAGCAAGCGGUAGACUGAUGAAUGCAAUAGCGGAAUCCUUGAAACUAAAAAAGAAACAAUUCAGAAAAAGCAAAGGAGAGGAAAAUAGCAAGACACACGAAAGAAAAAUAUACAGGAUACGAGGAAGAUAAAGAUCCUUUUAGAGGAAAUUAAAAAUGACAAGAGUGCUUUUAUACAGAGGCAUUUACUAAUACAUUUAGAAAUUAAGUAGAAAGAAACCUCCUAAGAAAGCCUGUCACUGGCUUUGACGGGACAAGGAGCAGCAAUCCCGUUUGACGCAACAGGGAAGGACGAAGCAGGAAAUUUUAUCAAAGAAUUUCCACCCCAGACUUGGCUAUGGAUGUAUGAUAGUGCAGGCAAUUUUUUUCAAACUGUAAAAUAAUUGUUAUUCCAAUAUCGUAUAAUCUGUUUUAGAACAAAGAAGAAGCUGGAAACUCUGUUCACAGCAUGAAGCCAGGACAGCCAGGACAAUAAAAUAUUUUUAAAAAGCACAAAGAAGCA
This 1595-nucleotide long non-coding RNA is filed under the name Sus scrofa (pig). RNAcentral's name for it is "lncRNA (ENSSSCG00045009436.1)". Lineage: Eukaryota; Metazoa; Chordata; Mammalia; Artiodactyla; Suidae. The record is from RNAcentral.